This 459-nucleotide ribosomal RNA is filed under the name Serratia symbiotica. RNAcentral's name for it is "bacterial SSU rRNA". It matches the Rfam family "Bacterial small subunit ribosomal RNA", at positions 9 to 464 of the family's 1533-position model. The record is from RNAcentral. Lineage: Bacteria; Pseudomonadati; Pseudomonadota; Gammaproteobacteria; Enterobacterales; Yersiniaceae.
GAGUUUGAUCAUGGCUCAGAUUGAACGCUGGCGGCAGGCCUAACACAUGCAAGUCGAGCGGUAGCACAAGAGAGCUUGCUCUCUGGGUGACGAGCGGCGGACGGGUGAGUAAUGUCUGGGAAACUGCCUGAUGGCGGGGGAUAACUAGUGGAAACGGUAGCUAAUACCGCAUAACGUCGCAAGACCAAAGUGGGGGACCUUCGGGCCUCACGCCAUCAGAUGUGCCCAGGUGGGAUUAGCUGGUAGGUGGGGUAACGGCUCACCUAGGCGACGAUCCCUAGCUGGUCUGAGAGGAUGACCAGCCACACUGGAACUGAGACACGGUCCAGACUCCUACGGGAGGCAGCAGUGGGGAAUAUUGCACAAUGGGCGCAAGCCUGAUGCAGCCAUGCCGCGUGUGUGAAGAAGGCCUUCGGGUUGUAAAGCACUUUCAGCGAGGAGGAAGGGUAAUGUGUUAAU